AUACGGAGGGGGUUAGCGUUGUUCGGAAUUACUGGGCGUAAAGCGCACGUAGGCGGAUUGGAAAGUUGGGGGUGAAAUCCCAGGGCUCAACCCUGGAACUGCCUCCAAAACUAACAGUCUAGAGUUCGAGAGAGGUGAGUGGAAUUCCAAGUGUAGAGGUGAAAUUCGUAGAUAUUUGGGGGAACACCAGUGGCGAAGGCGGCUCACUGGCUCGAUACUGACGCUGAGGUGCGAAAGCGUGGGGAGCAAACAGGAUUAGAAACCCGAGUAGUCC
This 274-nucleotide ribosomal RNA is filed under the name uncultured bacterium. RNAcentral's name for it is "partial 16S ribosomal RNA". It matches the Rfam family "Bacterial small subunit ribosomal RNA", at positions 523 to 796 of the family's 1533-position model. The record is from RNAcentral.